Molecule: ribosomal RNA, 490 nt
Filed under: uncultured bacterium
Lineage: Bacteria
Description: partial 16S ribosomal RNA
Rfam family: Bacterial small subunit ribosomal RNA
Source: RNAcentral
AUUGAACGCUGGCGGCAGGCCUAACACAUGCAAGUCGAACGGUAACAGGAAGCAGCUUGCUGCUUUGCUGACGAGUGGCGGACGGGUGAGUAAUGUCUGGGAAACUGCCUGAUGGAGGGGGAUAACUACUGGAAACGGUAGCUAAUACCGCAUAACGUCGCAAGACCAAAGAGGGGGACCUUCGGGCCUCUUGCCAUCGGAUGUGCCCAGAUGGGAUUAGCUAGUAGGUGGGGUAACGGCUCACCUAGGCGACGAUCCCUAGCUGGUCUGAGAGGAUGACCAGCCACACUGGAACUGAGACACGGUCCAGACUCCUACGGGAGGCAGCAGUGGGGAAUAUUGCACAAUGGGCGCAAGCCUGAUGCAGCCAUGCCGCGUGUAUGAAGAAGGCCUUCGGGUUGUAAUGUACUUUCAGCGGGGAGGAAGGGAGUAAAGUUAAUACCUUUGCUCAUUGACGUUACCCGCAGAAGAAGCACCGGCUAACUCCGUG